CCUACGGGAGGCAGCAGUGAGGAAUAUUGGUCAAUGGACGAGAGUCUGAACCAGCCAAGUAGCGUGAAGGAUGAAUGCCCUAUGGGUUGUAAACUUCUUUUAUAUGGGAAUAAAAUGUUCCACGUGUGGGAUUUUGUAUGUACCAUAUGAAUAAGGAUGGGCUAACUCCGUGACAGCAGCCGCGGUAAUACGGAGGAUCCGAGCGUCAUCCGGAUUUAUUGGGUUUAAAGGGAGCGCAGGCGGUCCGUGAAGUCAGGGGGCAAAGGCCCGGGCUCAAACCCGGCCCGGCCGUUGAAACUGGCAGACUGGAGUUGGAGAGAGGUAAGCGGAAUGCGAGGUGUAGCAGUGAAAUGCGUAGAUAUCGCGAAGAAC
This 372-nucleotide ribosomal RNA is filed under the name uncultured bacterium. Its description in RNAcentral is "partial 16S ribosomal RNA". It matches the Rfam family "Bacterial small subunit ribosomal RNA", at positions 338 to 707 of the family's 1533-position model. The record is from RNAcentral.